GAUGAACGCUGGCGGCGUGCCUAAUACAUGCAAGUCGAGCGAACAGACGAGGAGCUUGCUCCUCUGACGUUAGCGGCGGACGGGUGAGUAACACGUGGAUAACCUACCUAUAAGACUGGGAUAACUUCGGGAAACCGGAGCAAAUACCGGAUAAUAUAUUGAACCGCAUGGUCCAAUAGUGAAAGACGGUUUUGCUGUCACUUAUAGAUGGAUCCGCGCCGCAUUAGCUAGUUGGUAAGGUAACGGCUUACCAAGGCAACGAUGCGUAGCCGACCUGAGAGGGUGAUCGGCCACACUGGAACUGAGACACGGUCCAGACUCCUACGGGAGGCAGCAGUAGGGAAUCUUCCGCAAUGGGCGAAAGCCUGACGGAGCAACGCCGCGUGAGUGAUGAAGGUCUUCGGAUCGUAAAACUCUGUUAUUAGGGAAGAACAAAUGUGUAAGUAACUAUGCACGUCUUGACGGUACCUAAUCAGAAAGCCACGGCUAACUACGUG
Molecule: ribosomal RNA, 497 nt
Filed under: uncultured bacterium
Lineage: Bacteria
Description: partial 16S ribosomal RNA
Rfam family: Bacterial small subunit ribosomal RNA
Source: RNAcentral